This is a long non-coding RNA of Planococcus citri (citrus mealybug), 680 nucleotides long. RefSeq lists it as uncharacterized. The record is from RefSeq and is a predicted model, not a curated record. The transcript is spliced from 2 exons. NCBI's taxonomy places the organism in Eukaryota, Metazoa, Arthropoda, Insecta, Hemiptera, Pseudococcidae.
GGUACUUAUUUGAAGUUGAACAUGAACAAUGUGUUGGCAGGUUUAUAGGCUACUGACCUUCAAUGCAUUGAGGUAGGAACACAGCUGUGAAUAUCAAACCACAUAAAAUAGAGAAAUCAGCUAGAGAAGCAACCCAUAGAGGCAUAAAUGUAGCAAUCUUUCUCCAAGGAUAUAUCAACUGAAAACAGAUAGUAAAAAUUAUAUGAUCUAUCUGCUGACUGUUCAAGAGACCAUUAGACAUCCCACAAUUUUUACCUUUUCUUCAGUAGGUUCGUAAUUUAUACUUUCUUCUAUAUACUUUCGUUCUGAUUCACUCAUGUGUUUAUCUUGCGACGGUUCAUUUUUGACAACAAUUAACCAAAGGCAAGACCAUAUGAAUGAAGCCAAUCCUAUUGCCAGUGUUUUCAUUUAGUCAAGAUGCAAUAUCUAAUGCUGAUAAUCCAACCCUUGCCUGUGGUUUACUCACCACUGUAAUAAAACAACGUUUGCCAAUCACAUUUUCCCAAGAUUAUGCCGGAUAGUGGGAAUGAUACAAUAGAACCAAAAAAAAUACCAACUUCUCCAAAUGAAACAAACCUGGAAUGUUCUUCAAGUGGAGCCCAUCGUGCAAUUAUUUCUGGCACUCCUGUAAUAAUAAGUGCCUAAACAUACUGCAUGGAUUACAAUUGCUUUGCAAUGUU